This 297-nucleotide ribosomal RNA is filed under the name uncultured bacterium. RNAcentral's name for it is "partial 16S ribosomal RNA". It matches the Rfam family "Bacterial small subunit ribosomal RNA", at positions 28 to 334 of the family's 1533-position model. The record is from RNAcentral.
GAUGAACGCUGGCGGCGUGCUUAACACAUGCAAGUUGAACGGGAACAUACGAUAGCUUGCUAUAGUAUGUGAGAGUGGCGCACGGGUGAGUAAUACAUGGGAACAUACCUUGAAGUGGGGGAUAACUUCUGGAAACGGAUGCUAAUACCGCAUAUACCCUGAGGGGGAAAGAUUUAUCGCUUUAAGAUUGGCCCAUGGCAGAUUAGGUAGUUGGUGGAGUAAAGGCCUACCAAGCCGACGAUCUGUAGCUGGUCUGAGAGGACGAUCAAGCCACAUUGGGACUGAGACACGGCCCAG